Molecule: ribosomal RNA, 513 nt
Filed under: uncultured bacterium
Lineage: Bacteria
Description: bacterial SSU rRNA
Rfam family: Bacterial small subunit ribosomal RNA
Source: RNAcentral
AGUUGAUCCUGGCUUAGGAUGAACGCUGGCGGCGUGCCUAAUACAUGCAAGUCGAACGAGGGUGCUUGCACCCUAGUGGCGAACGGGUGAGUAACACGUAGGUAACCUGCCCUUAAGCUUGGGAUACCCAGAGGAAACUUUGGCUAAUACCGGAUAACAACAGAAGAGGCAUCUCUUCAGUUUGAAAGGCCCUUUACGGGGUCACUUAAGGAUGGACCUGCGGCGCAUUAGCUAGUUGGUGAGAUAACAGCCCACCAAGGCGAGGAUGCGUAGCCGACCUGAGAGGGUGAUCGGCCACAUUGGAACUGAGACACGGUCCAAACUCCUACGGGAGGCAGCAGUAAGGAGUUUUCGGCAAUGGGGGAAACCCUGACCGAGCAACGCCGCGUGAGUGAUGACGGCCCUAUGGGUUGUAAAGCUCUGUUGUAAGGGACGAAUGAUUCGCUUAGGAAAUGAAGCGGAUUUGACGGUACCUUACCAGAAAGCCACGGCUAACUACGUGCCAGCAGCCGC